Molecule: ribosomal RNA, 259 nt
Filed under: uncultured bacterium
Lineage: Bacteria
Description: partial 16S ribosomal RNA
Rfam family: Bacterial small subunit ribosomal RNA
Source: RNAcentral
GUCCACGCCCUAAACUAUGUCAACUAGCCGUUGGGAUCAUUGAAGGUCUUAGUGGCGCAGCUAACGCGAUAAGUUGACCGCCUGGGGAGUACGGCCGCAAGGUUAAACUCAAAGGAAUUGACGGGGCCCGCACAAGCGGUGGAGCAUGUGGUUUAAUUCGAAGAUACGCGAAGAACCUUACCUAGACUUGACAUCCCCUGGCAAAGUCGUGGAAACACGAUGGAGGUUAUCCAGGUGACAGGUGGUGCAUGGUUGUCGU